This 374-nucleotide ribosomal RNA is filed under the name uncultured organism. Its description in RNAcentral is "partial 16S ribosomal RNA". It matches the Rfam family "Bacterial small subunit ribosomal RNA", at positions 527 to 897 of the family's 1533-position model. The record is from RNAcentral.
GUAGGAGGCGAGCGUUAUCCGGAUUUACUGGGGCGUAAAGCGUGUGCAGGCGGUUUGGUAAGUCGGACGUGAAAGCUCCUGGGCUCAACUGGGAGAGGCCGUUCGAUACUGCCAGACUAGAGGACAGCAGAGGGAGGUGGAAUUCCAGGUGUAGCGGUGAAAUGCGUAGAUAUCUGGAGGAACACCAGUGGCGAAAGCGGCCUCCUGGACUGUCCCUGACGCUAAGACACGAAAGCUAGGGGAGCAAACGGGAUUAGAAACCCCGGUAGUCCUAGCCGUAAACGAUGCAGACUUGCUGUUGGUGGUGUAAAAAUCAUCAGUGCCGUAGCUAACGCGAUAAGUCUGCCGCCUGGGGACUACGACCGCAAGGUUAA